AUACGGAGGAUCCGAGUGUUAUCCGGAUUUAUUGGGUUUAAAGGGUGCGCAGGCGGCCAUUUAAGUCAGCGGUUAAAUCGUGGGGCUCAACCCCAUUCUGCCGUUGAUACUGGGUGGCUUGAUUGCGGUCGAGGUUGGCGGAAUUCGUUGUGUAGCGGUGAAAUGCAUAGAUAUGACGAAGAACACCGAUUGCGUAGGCAGCUGACCAGACCGCAAAUGACGCUCAUGCACGAAAGUGCGGGGAUCGAACAGGAUUAGAUACCCUGGUAGUCCGCACAGUAAACGAUGAAUACUUGUUUUCGGCGAUAUAAUGUCGGAGGCAAAGCGAAAGCGAUAAGUGUUCCACCUGGGGAGUACGCCGGCAACGGUGAAACUCAAAGGAAUUGACGGGG
RNAcentral lists this ribosomal RNA (392 nucleotides) under uncultured bacterium. Its description in RNAcentral is "partial 16S ribosomal RNA". It matches the Rfam family "Bacterial small subunit ribosomal RNA", at positions 523 to 918 of the family's 1533-position model. The record is from RNAcentral.